This 494-nucleotide ribosomal RNA is filed under the name uncultured Chloroflexota bacterium. RNAcentral's name for it is "bacterial SSU rRNA". It matches the Rfam family "Bacterial small subunit ribosomal RNA", at positions 355 to 864 of the family's 1533-position model. Lineage: Bacteria; Bacillati; Chloroflexota. The record is from RNAcentral.
UAGGGAAUAUUGCUCAAUGGGCGAAAGCCUGAAGCAGCAACGCCGCGUGUGUGAUGAAGGCCUUCGGGUCGUAAAGCACUUUUCUGGGAGAUGAGAAAGGACAGUAUCCCAGGAAUAAGUCUCGGCUAACUACGUGCCAGCAGCCGCGGUAAAACGUAGGAGGCGAGCGUUAUCCGGAUUCACUGGGCGUAAAGCGCGUGCAGGUGGCGCGGUAAGUUGGGCGUGAAAUCUCCCGGCUCAACUGGGAGAGGUCGUCCAAUACUACCGUGCUUGAGAGCAGAAGAGGAAGAUGGAAUUCCCGGUGUAGUGGUGAAAUGCGUAGAUAUCGGGAGGAACACCAGUGGCGAAGGCGAUCUUCUGGUCUGUUUCUGACACUCAGACGCGACAGCUAGGGUAGUAAACGGGAUUAGAGACCCCGGUAAUCCUAGCCGUAAACGAUGUGAACUUGGCGUUGGUGGGUUAAACUCAAUCAGUGCCGUAGCAAACGCGAUAAG